This is a non-coding RNA of Zonotrichia albicollis (white-throated sparrow), 2468 nucleotides long. The record is from RefSeq and is a predicted model, not a curated record. Lineage: Eukaryota; Metazoa; Chordata; Aves; Passeriformes; Passerellidae.
AGAUUUUGCUGUAUUUGUGCUUUUUUCAACUCCCCCUGAGGAGUAUUAACUCAAAGCAAUCACAAGACACCCAUCCUUGCCUGCUGCUUCUUGAACUGCUGUAUCCUCUUCUUUGCUUCUUGCUUUUCUAUUUGAAGAUUUUUUUAUUCUUUUUUUUUUCUUGACGAGGGAACAGCAGCAAGCAGAACCAUAAAGGGUGUCUCCUUUCCUAAAAUAAUAACUAUUUGAUGUGAGAAAACAAACCCACAGAACUCUUCUGUUCAUGUAGGAUUUGCUUUGAACAACCGUGUUCUCUUACCCAAAGGAAGAUAGGUCGAGUGCUCUGUGAAGUACAGCACUGGAAAAGGAAGCCAUGGGCACGCUUGGAAAAUGCUGAGCUGCUUGUGAAGCUACACUGCAUGUUUAUGACUUGGUUUUCUAAGCAAUCUCCAGAGCUUGAACGGAUUACAGUGAUACUUUAACAAGGCUGCUGCAUCCAUCACCAGCUUUCAGUCAGUGAGAAAGCUAAAAGAUGGAAGAAUGUAAUUAUUUCCGCAUAAGCUAAGUGUUAGUGACUGAUUAUCAUGAGAACUUUGAUGCUUUAAACUUCUUCAUCCUCUGAAGGCAAGCAGUCCCUCUGAUGACACCGCGAAUCUGGGAAUGAAGAACUUCUUAGAGCUGAUUGGAAAUGGCAUUGCAGAGCUGAAACUUAACUGGAGGAAAUAUAUCUCCUGAAGAAGAAAAUAUAAUGCACUGUAAGGAUCUGUCUUCUGGUGAAAAAUUCAAGCCUAGAGAAAACUUGUCUGCUUUGUUAGGAAGAAUGGGUUGGACAAUUUUCUUCAAUUCCAAAGGAUAUCUGAAUGCCAUGCUGAGCUUAAUCUCUGCAGCAUGCUCUGUGCUUCUCAUCUCUUCCUGAUGCACUGCAUGGUUAUUCUGAAGGGAAGGAUAAAGAAACUGGCCACCAAGAUGGUAAUCACUAGUGGAAAUGAAGAAGAUAAAGGCAGUCAAGAAAAGGAAAGCAAAGAAGAAACCAUCUUGGCAAUGCUUGGAAUUAUUGGGACAAUUCUGAACCUCAUUGUGAUCAUUUUUGUGUAUAUUUAUACAACGUUGUAAACUAGAAGGCAUGCAAAUAGACCAGAUAAAAUGGCCAUUAAGAGUGACAACAAACAUUGCUGACUAUUGACAAGUUCUUUAAUCAGAAUUGACUCUGUAUUAUAUUAACACAUCAUAAAAGCACUGCCUGAAGGCAGCGAAGACUGAAGCACAAUUAAUUUAACAAGACUUUUUCACACAGUAAUAAGCUUAACUCUUCUUCCUGCCCUCUCCCUUUCUGUUUGGUUUUCAGUUUGGGGGAGAAUGACUGCAGUUAUAUAAGUUGUAGCUUUGAAGAAAUCCACCAGGGAUAUGUUGUUUUAAAACAAUAAAAAAAAAAAAGAAAAGAAAAUAAAAUACAAGAAAGGAAAAAAAAAAGGAAAAGAAAGAAACUGUAAACUAUAUAUAAUUAGAAAUGUAUGCUGUAUACCCGCAAAGAUUGAACUCAAAGAUAGCUUCAUAGCACAGAUCACGUGUCUGUUAGGUCAAAUGGUUUUUUCUCUUGGUUUUUGCUUUUACUUACAUUGAAUCUGACAAGCUUUUUAUUUAGAAUGAACAUAUGGUGCAAUCAUGAAAAAAACAAUUCUGUUGAGCAAGGUCUGCCUAAACCUGAUAAAAUGUUGGGAGAAAUACAUUACGUGGUUAUUUUUCCUUUCUCAUUUGCUUAACAUCUGUGUCUGUUCAUACCAAUGUUUAUAAAUAUAUAUUUUUAAUAAAUGUGCUAUAUUUUUAGCAUGAACCAAAUAUUUGGAGACACUUGUAUUCAUGCAGCUAAAUUUUGUUUGAUUAAGUGCCCCUUUUGACAAUGGAUGUUAUUUUCCUCGGCAAUUAUACAGCAGUCUUGUUUGCAGCCCUCUCACUGAGGUCUGAAGCAAGCUCGCAUCAUGCUCACAUGCAUGACUUGAAGUUGGAAUGUCAGCUGAAAAGCAUUGCUGCUUAAUAUGGGAAAUAGCAAAACAUUGUAAGGUGACCUUUGGAGACUGGUUGCAGAAAGAAGGCUCUAUUUAUAGUUAAAAAAAGAAAAAAAUGAAAGGAACACUGAGGCAUCUCACAAAAUAUUGCAAAAUUCAUAGAAUUUAUGGCUUUCAGUAUCUGGUCACUCUCUCUAAGUACUUGUGCUGAGAGAAGUGAGCAGAGGUUUAUACAGUUGAAAAGAGAAAUUUAUAGAGCCUAAAGUGAGGGGCUGAAGUGAAAUCCAGACUGUAAAUACAGAGUGUAUUUUAAAUGUGAGGAUCAUUAACUCUUUAUGCUUCUCUGACAUGUGCUUUAACUGAAUUGGUGCAGUGAAAUUCUCUGACUUGUGUUUUUGACAGGAAUGUACAAUGAUGAUGAUCACCAUUUUUCUUCAGAGUUCAGUACCUAUAAAUAUACAAAGCAUUAAAAAUAUGAGACUUCAA